UUGUGAUUUCAAUACCACCAACAUAUUUUCACUGGGAGCAAAGAGUCAUUGACUGUAAGGUCAUUUACUGGCAUGAAACAGUGCGGUAGCACACGUACGUAGCCUACAUGCACAUAUUGCGUAGCUUGCGAGCACCCGAUAUCAAGCAAGCACGAGUCCAAAACACUUCACCACCCAUCGACCCUCACCUUCCAGUCCUAUGUCAAUGCACAUCUUCUAUGUCGCUGUGCCACUCCGUGAUUUCCGCAACCCCAAGAUUUCGUAGAGAUUUUGUGUGAACUUAGCUUUACCGAUGCUCCACAAGGCGAUGUUCAGCCCGUCUUCCAUGGGGAGGGAAAGAAGCUGGAUCAGUUGCCAGCCUGAGAUGGAUGAAUAUGGCCAGAAGCUCUAGUUUCUCUGAGGUAGAGAGCAGAGAGGGUAAAAGACAGAGAAGAGGAUCACAGUUCGAAAGGUGCCAAGGCGAGGGAAUCAAACCAAGCCCUUCCCACGCAGAGACAACCUGGAACUCACAAAGCCCCUGAAGAUGGAGAAGCCAAUGGCCCCCAGCAGACAGAUGAUCAGCAGGAAGUCCAGGGGGCGGAGAAGCAGGUUUCUCUUCUGCACGCGCUCAAUCUGGGACACACA
Long non-coding RNA from Anguilla rostrata (American eel), 624 nucleotides. RefSeq lists it as uncharacterized. The record is from RefSeq and is a predicted model, not a curated record. The transcript has 4 exons. NCBI's taxonomy places the organism in Eukaryota, Metazoa, Chordata, Actinopteri, Anguilliformes, Anguillidae.